GGAGAUGUGGCAGAGCCCGGUUGAAUGCGCCUGAUUCGAAAUCAGGUAUACGGGAAACCGUAUCGGGGGUUCGAAUCCCUCCGUCUCCG
RNAcentral lists this transfer RNA (89 nucleotides) under Myxococcales bacterium. RNAcentral describes it as "tRNA-Ser". It matches the Rfam family "tRNA". From Rfam's summary of the family: Transfer RNA (tRNA) molecules are approximately 80 nucleotides in length. Their secondary structure includes four short double-helical elements and three loops (D, anti-codon, and T loops). The record is from RNAcentral. Lineage: Bacteria; Pseudomonadati; Myxococcota; Myxococcia; Myxococcales.